UAUCAAAACAAAAGCAAGAAUAGCGAUUUCCGUUUCUCUCAAAAAAUGCGGAAAUCGCUUAUUUUUUUU
Molecule: unclassified non-coding RNA, 69 nt
Filed under: Lactiplantibacillus plantarum
Lineage: Bacteria; Bacillati; Bacillota; Bacilli; Lactobacillales; Lactobacillaceae
Description: Lactobacillus plantarum countertranscribed RNA
Source: RNAcentral